GGGCUCUCUUCGGAAGCCCAUAAACUAAAGUUAAAAUGAUACAGAGAAGAUUAGCAUGGCCCCUGCACAAGCAUGACAUGCAAAUUUGUAAAGCAUUUCAUAUUUUU
This 107-nucleotide small nuclear RNA is filed under the name Dasypus novemcinctus (nine-banded armadillo). Lineage: Eukaryota; Metazoa; Chordata; Mammalia; Cingulata; Dasypodidae. The record is from RNAcentral.